RNAcentral lists this ribosomal RNA (407 nucleotides) under uncultured microorganism. RNAcentral describes it as "bacterial SSU rRNA". It matches the Rfam family "Archaeal small subunit ribosomal RNA", at positions 330 to 745 of the family's 1478-position model. The record is from RNAcentral.
GUGCAGCAGUCGAGAAACUUUACAAUGUGCGAAGCACGAUAAGGGAACUCUGAGUGCCUCCUAAGGAGGCUGUUCAGGUGUCUAAAAGCACCUGAAGGAAGGGCUGGGUAAGACCGGUGCCAGCCGCCGCGGUAACACCGGCAGCCCAAGUGGUAGCCACGUUUAUUGGGUCUAAAGCGUCCGUAGCCGGCUGGGUAAGUUCCUUGGGAAAUUUGGCUGCUUAACAGUCAAGCUUUCAGGGAAUACUGCCCGGCUUGGGACCGGGAGAGGUCAGAGGUACUCCAGGGGUAGGGGUGAAAUCCAUUAAUCCUUGGAGGACCACCGGUAGCGAAGGCGUCUGACCAGACCGGGUCCGACGGUGAGGGACGAAGGCUAGGGGCGCGAACCGGAUUAGAUACCCGCGUAGU